This 205-nucleotide ribosomal RNA is filed under the name uncultured bacterium. Its description in RNAcentral is "partial 16S ribosomal RNA". It matches the Rfam family "Bacterial small subunit ribosomal RNA", at positions 568 to 774 of the family's 1533-position model. The record is from RNAcentral.
CGCGUAGGCGGUUUGUUAAGUCAGAUGUGAAAGCCCAGGGCUUAACCUUGGAAUUGCAUCUGAUACUGGCAGGCUAGAGUGCAGGAGAGGGAAUGGAAUUUCAGGUGUAGCGGUGAAAUGCGUAGAGAUCUGAAGGAACACCAGUGGCGAAGGCGACUUCCUGGACUGACACUGACGCUGAGGUGCGAAGCGUGGGGAGCAAACA